UAGAAAUAAAAAUUUUGAAAAAAAAAAAAUCUACGCUUGUUGAAGGUAAAGUUUGGAAAUAGAACAAUUCCUUCUGUCGUGUAUCCUCCGUUAAUGUAACCUCAGAUGCAAUGGUUUAAUUGUCGACUCUAGUAUUGAGCGAAAGGCUACACCUAUAGGUUCUGUUAGGUUCUGUAUUUACAGGUCAAUCCUACUCCACCAGUACCAAUAGGCCACAUAGGGGAAGAAGCACUACACCUAGGAAUCAACAACACGAAAACUUUGUUCGAAAUUAU
RNAcentral lists this long non-coding RNA (275 nucleotides) under Daucus carota (carrot). RNAcentral's name for it is "long non-coding RNA (DCAR_LNC000769)". The record is from RNAcentral. Lineage: Eukaryota; Viridiplantae; Streptophyta; Magnoliopsida; Apiales; Apiaceae.